This 253-nucleotide ribosomal RNA is filed under the name uncultured bacterium. RNAcentral's name for it is "partial 16S ribosomal RNA". It matches the Rfam family "Bacterial small subunit ribosomal RNA", at positions 524 to 776 of the family's 1533-position model. The record is from RNAcentral.
UACGUAGGGUGCAAGCGUUAAUCGGAAUUACUGGGCGUAAAGCGCGCGCAGGCGGCUUUGCAAGACAGAUGUGAAAUCCCCGGGCUCAACCUGGGAACUGCAUUUGUGACUGCAUGGCUAGAGUGCGGCAGAGGGGGAUGGAAUUCCGCGUGUAGCAGUGAAAUGCGUAGAUAUGCGGAGGAACACCGAUGGCGAAGGCAAUCCCCUGGGCCUGCACUGACGCUCAUGCACGAAAGCGUGGGGAGCAAACAGG